GCCCCUCCGCCUCCGAAGCUAGGCUACUGUAGUUUACUGAUGUUCAAGGCCUAAUUCAGAAAUUAGGGAGAGAGAUUUUUCAUUAGAGAAGAAUGGAUUCACUUUUCCAAUGCUAGUUAAGAAUAGAAUAAUCCAAGUUUCACAUUGGAUUUAUUAACUACAAAAAGGCAAAGCCCCCCCACAGACUGUACAAUUUUAGCCAUCUUAUGCCACGAAAAAUGUUUAAGUCUUGGACAAAUUCCUAGGUUGUAAACGAUUGUCGGACGUCUUGGCUGGUUCAGUGAGACAGGGUCUAGGUCUGCUGGUUCAGUACCACUACGUCUUGGCUCCUCGUUUAGUGUGACAGGGUCUAGGUCUGCUGAUUCAGUACCACUACGUCUUGGCUGGUUCAGUGAGACAGGGUCUAGGUCUGCUGGUUCAGUACCACUACGUCUUGGCUGGUUCAGUGAGACAGGGUCUAGGUCUGCUGGUUCAGUACCACUACGUCUUGGCUGGUUCAGUGAGACAGGGUCCAUGUCUGCUGGUUCAGUACCACUACGUCUUGGCUGGUUCAGUGAGACAGGGUCUAGGUCUGCUGAUUCAGUACCACUACGUCUUAGCUCCUCGUUUAGUGUGACAGGGUCUAGGUCUGCUGAUUCAGUACCACUACGUCUUGGCUGGUUCAGUGAGACAGGGUCCAUGUCUGCUGGUUCAGUACCACUACAUCUUGGCUGGUUCAGUGAGACAGGGUCUAGGUCUGCUGGUUCAGUACCACUACGUCUUGGCUCCUCGUUUAGUGUGACAGGGUCUAGGUCUGCUGAUUCAGUACCACUACGUCUUGGCUGGUUCAGUGAGACAGGGUCUAGGUCUGCUGGUUCAGUACCACUACGUCUUGGCUGGUUCAGUGAGACAGGGUCUAGGUCUGCUGGUUCAGUACCACUACGUCUUGGCUGGUUCAGUGAGACAGGGUCCAUGUCUGCUGGUUCAGUACCACUACGUCUUGGCUGGUUCAGUGAGACAGGGUCUAGGUCUGCUGGUUCAGUACCACUACGUCUUGGUUGGUUCAGUGAGACAGGGUCUAGGUCUGCUGAUUCAGUACCACUACGUCUUGGCUGGUUCAGUGUGACAGGGUCUGGGUCUGCUGAUUCAGUACCACAAGGUCUUGGCUGGUUCAGUGAGACAAGGUCUAGGUCUGCUGAUUCAGUACCACUACUUGCGGUCGUAGGCUCAGACAAAGUUAUGGCAGUGUCAGAUUGGUUUUAGCCUUUAUCAUGAAUUUUGGCUGGUGUUUGCGAGCCGAUCCCGGUGACUGACAAAUAGGAACACGGCCGGCACUGAGUACGCACAGAAUUAAAACGCUUACAUCCUUUGCCAGAACGAUUUCCAGAACGAAUUCCCUAAUAAUCUUGUUUCCUGAUAGGAUUUUGAUAAAUGCACAAAAUCACCAAUCCCCCCCCCCAAAACAAAAUCUACCACAUCGACCACGUUAUUUCAGGGAAGCCUAUUUGAUUCUGAGUUUUGACAUAUAAAGUUUGUAUGUGAAAACUAUUUUCAGUUUUUCCAAACUCAAUGAACUCUCUCAUAAGGAUAGAGAUGGGCUUGCAUUGCUGGUGCUGUCAUAAGGGCAGAUCAAACACAACGCUGCAGUUGACGUAGACUAUGUCAAGUCGAUCGCAGAAUGUGACGACAAAACUGAAGCAAAUCUUGCCAUCUGGCCAGGUUGAUGUCAAGAUUUUAAUUUGGUAACAUCGCACAAUGUGACGUGAUGAUCUCACAAUGUGACGUGAUGAUCUCACAAUGUGACGUGAUGAUCUCACAAUGUGACGUGAUGAUCUCACAAUGUGACGUGAUGACCUCACAAUGUGACGUGAUGAUCUCACAAUGUGACGUGAUGAUCUCACAAUGUGACGUGAUGAUCGCAAAAGACUGAAUCCGACAUACAGUCAGCAAAGGCCUUAAGACGUUUUAUUUAUUUAUUUAUAUUUGAAUUAUUGUGCCGCUGUUAACACACAAGCUUGUUAGCUAGUUUAGAAUGAAACAAUUGGACAAUAAUUUUGGUUCCAACCCCUGCCUAAAACCAUACACUAAGUUAACAAUACCUGAAUUUGGGAAAGGGAAAAUGUGUCAGCUACAUAAAACCUUUCUACUAAGAGUCUCUUGCUAUAGAAUAAGCUGAUCUCAAGUGUGCAUAAUAAAAAAAGAAGCUUUUGAAAGAAAACAAUGUUUUUCUUACGUGUGAUAGUUAGCUUCUCGUGUAUCUCAUGCAACACAUGCAAAUGAAACCACAGUUUAGUUUCUGUUGACAACAAAAUAUCAUCGCUAGUAUCAAAAAAGAAUCGUCACCAUUUCCUCGUUCUAGAAUCUUCAGCAUUCUAGAUCUCUAUUCAUUCCAUAUUUUGGGGGGAUCUGAACUGCCACUCUCAGAGUUUAUAAAGUCUCUGUCAAGUCUCAUAUUUUACAACUGAUCAACUUCGCAACAAAGAAAUACUUCACGGGAAAUACUCAACAACAGGACUGUGGGACUCCCAAAAUGGCACCCUAUUACCUAUAAAGUGCACGACAUUGGACCAGGGUCUUUAGAGCUCUGAUCAAAAGUG
Molecule: long non-coding RNA, 2576 nt
Organism: Oncorhynchus keta (chum salmon)
Lineage: Eukaryota; Metazoa; Chordata; Actinopteri; Salmoniformes; Salmonidae
Exons: 3
Source: RefSeq, a predicted model, not a curated record